This 74-nucleotide transfer RNA is filed under the name Salvia splendens (bonfire salvia). RNAcentral describes it as "tRNA-Met". It matches the Rfam family "tRNA". From Rfam's summary of the family: Transfer RNA (tRNA) molecules are approximately 80 nucleotides in length. Their secondary structure includes four short double-helical elements and three loops (D, anti-codon, and T loops). The record is from RNAcentral. Lineage: Eukaryota; Viridiplantae; Streptophyta; Magnoliopsida; Lamiales; Lamiaceae.
GGGGUGGUGGCGCAGUUGGCUAGCGCGUAGGUCUCAUAAUCCCGAGGUCGAGAGUUAGAAACUCUCUCACCCAA